RNAcentral lists this unclassified non-coding RNA (835 nucleotides) under Stegodyphus dumicola. RNAcentral describes it as "uncharacterized LOC118193906, transcript variant X2". The record is from RNAcentral. Lineage: Eukaryota; Metazoa; Arthropoda; Arachnida; Araneae; Eresidae.
CUGAAGUAAAAGUAGUUUUUAUGAAUGUUUUUAUACCAUGGUAGUAUUUAGGAUUUGAGUAUCCCUGCACCCGGAAGUGCCGUCGACCUUCAAAUGUACUUGGAUGUAGUAGUAGGCGGUAAUGUAGGCGAGACUGUUUGUCAUAUACUAUGUUUUUCUAAAAUAGUGCGUUAAAUGAAGGAUGAGAGGCUUGUAAAAAAAAAAAAAAAAGGGGGAAAUGAUUUAAUUAAAAUUCACGAGUCGAAUGUAAUAUGCGCAUUUGAAAGGGUUGAUUUCAGUUGAGUGGGCUGGGAUAAUAUUCUGCAUUGCUAAAUUAGGAACGAGAUGGUCGCUUUUCCUUGAGAAAGGUUAGAUCAAGGUUAAGAUUUUGAGGGGGAGGUGAAAGUAGUAUUUGAUGAAAUACGUGUUUUGAAAGCGUAAACAUCCUGUAAGCGCACAAGGCGAGACUUGUGAAACUUUCACUUGAUCAUUACAUUUCGAAGCGGUGAGGUUGGUGCUAUCAUCCUCCAUAAGGAUUACAAUGGAAGCUCGUAAUGAACGCAAACGUAGAUGUGUUGACACGUUGGGGGAUGUGCAGCCGUCGGAAGAUCUUAUUUUAAACCUCGCUCCCGAGGAAGGCGAAACCUCCCGCAAAAAACUCAAAAAAAUUAAAAUAUACAUUGGAAAAAAUGUUUCAAUAGAAACUUGUGACUUCAAAAAUGUCAAUUAUGUUUCAUUUGUAAGGGUGUAUCCCGAAACCGCCGCCACCCCAAAAGAUUUAAUAUAAAUAUGAAUUGUAUUGAUCGUAUAAUCGAAGCUUUGGGGGUGAUUAAGAGUCACUGUAUGUAAAAUUAAA